Helianthus annuus (common sunflower) is the source of this 1126-nucleotide long non-coding RNA. RefSeq lists it as uncharacterized. The record is from RefSeq and is a predicted model, not a curated record. NCBI's taxonomy places the organism in Eukaryota, Viridiplantae, Streptophyta, Magnoliopsida, Asterales, Asteraceae. The transcript is spliced from 5 exons.
CAAAACAUUGCUCUCUCUCUUUUUGUGCGAUAGUGAGGAAACUCCAACAAUCCAGCAGAAAAUGGAUCCAAUCGUUCUUCUACUUCGCUCUAUCUGCUACUGAUCUUGAUUCUACCAAACAGACUAAUGGUAUCUUAUCACAAAAUUAUUGCCAAGAAGCAUAAGAUCCUUCAGGAGUACCAUAUGGAGCCAGGCAUCUCAAUGACCACAAAUUGGAACUGCACUACUUCUGUUACUUCUUUUGUUAUCACUUCAUCAAAUUGGAACUGCACUAUUUCUGUUACUUCUUUUGAUCCAUAGGGUGAAUUCUACAUUCUGGUCAUGAACAUGCUCGGACCAAGUCUUUGGGAUAUUUGGAGUUCAUUAGGCCAAUCGAUGACACCAAAGUCGACAGCUUGUGCAUCGAAAGCUUCGCUGUGGUUUUCGUUUUUGGAUAUAAAGUAUCGGACCAGGUUCUGCAAAUAAUGGCCAGGAUCCGAACUUAGAAGUAAGUGGAAUUCCUCUGCAACCUCCUAAAAACCAGAGAAGCAGUAAGAAAAUGCAGACUCAAGAAAAAGGUUUCAUGAAUCAUCAAAAUAAUAUCAUUUUUUCUCUUUUUAAUCACUCUAAAUUCACGUGUUCAACUCCAUGUUUCACCAUCACUAAAAUGAUCGCGGGCCCAAAUACGUUUAGCAGCUAGAGUCUAGCAAAUUAAGGCUAGCUCAACUUGAACAGAUCUUCAACGUGCUCGAUCACAGGUUUUUAUUUAUAUUUUAUGUCAAUGUGUGUGUAGUGUUUGUGUUUGGAAUUGAAUUGUAUACGUUAACACAUAAAAUAGUUUGUAUACUUCUAAGUUAAGAAAAUUCAAAUGAGAAACACCGAUGCACAAGGCUCCCCACUGUAAAAUUGUUUUGUUGCUGUGAAAUUGAGUCUCAUAAGUAAUGUCAUAUAAGUUACAAUUUUCUUGCAUCAUGAAUGAUUAAUUCUAUUUUUUAUGCAAAUAUCAAACCAGACUUGAGAUUGGUCAUAUCAGGGUGCAAAAUGGUGAGGUAUGAAGCUUGUCUUAAAAGUAAAAAGCCAAAUUUAGGUCAAAUUUGUAAAAUAAGUGAUAGCUAAAAAGGAAGUGGGUGAUCAUUUAUCCCUAUAA